Pygocentrus nattereri (red-bellied piranha) is the source of this 1305-nucleotide long non-coding RNA. RefSeq lists it as uncharacterized. The transcript is spliced from 2 exons. NCBI's taxonomy places the organism in Eukaryota, Metazoa, Chordata, Actinopteri, Characiformes, Serrasalmidae. The record is from RefSeq and is a predicted model, not a curated record.
UCUCUGUGUUCACCAUCCGCAGAAAUUGCUCCAGGAUCAUCAUUUCAGAUAUUUCCUUUACUGACUUCUGCUCAGGCCUGACCCAUUUUGAGAAUAAUUCCUUUAGGCGAACAUACAAUUCACGUGGUGUCUCCCCAGGAUAAACCUCUAGUGCACGAAAUCUCUGGCGGUAAAUGUCCUGUGUUAUUUCAUACUUAGCAAGAAUAGCAGCUUUGACUUCCUCGUAGUCCUCAGCAUGCUCACUGUCCAUGGCUACAUAUGCACUUCGGGCUUUUCCGGUAAGCAGCGGAACUAGCCGAAUUGCCCAAUCCUCUUUGUGCCAGCGGCAGACCUUUGCAAUACGCUCAAAGGUUGCCAGGAAGUGCUCUAUGUUGUCCUCUGGAGUCAGGGGAUACAGUUUGGGCUCCCUAAAGCCCGGUGGUACUCUCUGCUCCUGCUCUUCUCCUGUUUGGCCACUGGCUCCUUCGUUGGCAUCCUCCUCAGGCUGUCCUCGCUGGUCCACCUGCUGUUGCAGUUGUCGGAAUUGGUGCUGUAGGCUCUUCCAUCGCUGCUCCUGUCGGAUGGCUUCUCGCUCCGCCCGCUCAUCCCUUGCAGCUUGGCUCUCCAUGAACCCUUGAAGCAUCUCAGCUAGCUCUUGCAGUGAUGUGUCUGAUGCAUUGGCUGUUGCUUUUCUCUGCUUUACUUCACUGGGACUGGAAUCUUUGCCUGAGCUGUCCGCCAUACCUCGACUUCUCAGGAUCAUACCACAACACCUUUAAGUGGCAAAAUCUCACGAGAAACAGUUCCUGAUACUCUGAGAAAUGCCUGAAAAUGUUAUGCCCCCUGGAAAAACUGUAGUACUUCUGACACCACUUGUGAUGGUCCGACGGAAAAGACACGUGGGUACAUUCCAGUUUGGGGUUCAAAAAUCGGUGUUUAUUAAAUCCCAGUGAAAAACCAAACAAAAACAAAAAAAAUGCAAUUUAUCCAACGCCAAAAAGAAAAAUAUUUACAAAUAUAUACAGCUUAAUUUGAAUAAUCAGUUAUUCAAUCACAACUUGAGAGGGUUUUAGGCUUCAACCACAUUCCAUUACCUCUCUCACAAGACUGGCUCAUUCUGGUCCAUCUAGGGCUUUUAUAGAGCUAAACAGGAAGUGCUAUGACGUCACUUCCGGUUUUUGCGCGGGAAAGUUCACUAUAAAAACGCAGCAAACAAAGGGUCCUGUUUUCCUCCCUGACUGAAAACACGGCUACCUUCCUCUGGAGUCUAUUCACAGGUUUACUCUUGUUCCCCAGCAUAACCACUCAAUCAAUAAAUGCUAUUUA